GACGAACGCUGGCGGCGUGCCUAAUACAUGCAAGUCGAACGAACUCUGGUAUUGAUUGGUGCUUGCAUCAUGAUUUACAUUUGAGUGAGUGGCGAACUGGUGAGUAACACGUGGGAAACCUGCCCAGAAGCGGGGGAUAACACCUGGAAACAGAUGCUAAUACCGCAUAACAACUUGGACCGCAUGGUCCGAGUUUGAAAGAUGGCUUCGGCUAUCACUUUUGGAUGGUCCCGCGGCGUAUUAGCUAGAUGGUGGGGUAACGGCUCACCAUGGCAAUGAUACGUAGCCGACCUGAGAGGGUAAUCGGCCACAUUGGGACUGAGACACGGCCCAAACUCCUACGGGAGGCAGCAGUAGGGAAUCUUCCACAAUGGACGAAAGUCUGAUGGAGCAACGCCGCGUGAGUGAAGAAGGGUUUCGGCUCGUAAAACUCUGUUGUUAAAGAAGAACAUAUCUGAGAGUAACUGUUCAGGUAUUGACGGUAUUUAACCAGAAAGCCACGGCUAACUACGUGCCAGCAGCCGCGGUAAUACGUAGGUGGCAAGCGUUGUCCGGAUUUAUUGGGCGUAAAGCGAGCGCAGGCGGUUUUUUAAGUCUGAUGUGAAAGCCUUCGGCUCAACCGAAGAAGUGCAUCGGAAACUGGGAAACUUGAGUGCAGAAGAGGACAGUGGAACUCCAUGUGUAGCGGUGAAAUGCGUAGAUAUAUGGAAGAACACCAGUGGCGAAGGCGGCUGUCUGGUCUGUAACUGACGCUGAGGCUCGAAAGUAUGGGUAGCAAGCAGGAUUAGAUACCCUGGUAGUCCAUACCGUAAACGAUGAAUGCUAAGUGUUGGAGGGUUUCCGCCCUUCAGUGCUGCAGCUAACGCAUUAAGCAUUCCGCCUGGGGAGUACGGCCGCAAGGCUGAAACUCAAAGGAAUUGACGGGGGCCCGCACAAGCGGUGGAGCAUGUGGUUUAAUUCGAAGCUACGCGAAGAACCUUACCAGGUCUUGACAUACUAUGCAAAUCUAAGAGAUUAGACGUUCCCUUCGGGGACAUGGAUACAGGUGGUGCAUGGUUGUCGUCAGCUCGUGUCGUGAGAUGUUGGGUUAAGUCCCGCAACGAGCGCAACCCUUAUUAUCAGUUGCCAGCAUUAAGUUGGGCACUCUGGUGAGACUGCCGGUGACAAACCGGAGGAAGGUGGGGAUGACGUCAAAUCAUCAUGCCCCUUAUGACCUGGGCUACACACGUGCUACAAUGGAUGGUACAACGAGUUGCGAACUCGCGAGAGUAAGCUAAUCUCUUAAAGCCAUUCUCAGUUCGGAUUGUAGGCUGCAACUCGCCUACAUGAAGUCGGAAUCGCUAGUAAUCGCGGAUCAGCAUGCCGCGGUGAAUACGUUCCCGGGCCUUGUACACACCGCCCGUCACACCAUGAGAGUUUGUAACACCCAAAGUCGGUGGGGUAACCUUUUAGGAACCAGCCGCCUAAGGUGGGACAGAUGAUUAGGGUG
This 1489-nucleotide ribosomal RNA is filed under the name Lactiplantibacillus plantarum. RNAcentral's name for it is "bacterial SSU rRNA". It matches the Rfam family "Bacterial small subunit ribosomal RNA". The record is from RNAcentral. Lineage: Bacteria; Bacillati; Bacillota; Bacilli; Lactobacillales; Lactobacillaceae.